CUACGGGAGGGCAGCAGCUGAGGAAAUUUUACAAUGCUCGAAAGAGUGAUAAAAUAAGCCAGAGUGUUUUUCUUAGAAAAACUUUUGUCUGCUGUAAAAAGGCAGACGAAUAAGGACUGGGCAAGACCGGUGCCAGCCGCCGCGGUAAUACCGGCGGUCCAAGUCGCAUCCAUAUUUAUUGGGUCUAAAACAUCCGUAGCUUGUUUUGUAAGUCUCUUGUGAAAUCCUAUGUCUCAAGCAUGGGGCGUGCAAGAAAUACUGCAUUACUAGAGACCGGAAGACGUAAAGAGUACAAUUGAGGUAGCGGUAAAAUGUGUUAAUCUUGAUUGGACUAACAAUGGCGAAGGCACUUUACGAGUACGGAUCUGACAGUGAGGGAUGAAGGCUAGGGGCGCAAAAGGGAUUAGAUACCCCUGUAGUC
RNAcentral lists this ribosomal RNA (421 nucleotides) under uncultured archaeon. RNAcentral's name for it is "partial 16S ribosomal RNA". It matches the Rfam family "Archaeal small subunit ribosomal RNA", at positions 323 to 746 of the family's 1478-position model. The record is from RNAcentral.